CUUAAAGUAUAAUAAAAAAAAAAAAAAGAAAAGAAAAACAUACCUAACAUCCCACAGACAGUUAAAAGAAUGGAUCAGUCAUUAGUGAGAAAACAUUUUGAAUUAGAAGAAAGCUCUGAGGAAAUAUGUCAGAAUUAAUAGAGAUUAAUAAGGAGAUGCAAUAUAUGAAGAAUUUAGAAACAUCAACAAUUAAUCAUAAAGUGCCAACCUACGUGGAAUAGCAAUGUGUGAAGGGAAAAAUGUUCCUGAGAAAAAAAUUGCAUUUAUUAUCCAAAACAGGAAAGAAAUGAGUCUAUAGAUUGAAAACGCCACUUAUGCAACACAUAGCAGGAGAAAAAAUAACACCUAAACAUAUAGCAUGACUGCAAAAUACCAUAGCUAAAGAAAAAUCUUCUAAAACUAACAGGGAACAGGCAAAUAACUUGUGAGGAGACAAUUAUAUCAACAACAUUGUCAAAAGAAGCAAAACACAACAGAAGAAAAUGGAAUAAAGCAGCUGAAAGAUUCAGAGAUUUGAUCUUAUGUAAUCUUCAGAGCUGGCUAAGCUUCCUGGUUAGGCCAUCUCUGCAACUCUCUUUGCCUCUGAUACUGGAGUUGAAGUCUACAGGAGAGGAGUCAGGAAGGAAAAUUGGAGGUCCCACAACAGGGCAAGAAUGACAGGAGGUGUGCACACAGAUACAUUUCAAGGCAGGCAUGGUGGUGUCUGCCUUUAGCUCUGCUCACAUCUCAUUGGUCCAAAUUCAACUAGAGUCCCCAAGUCGACAGCAAGGGAAGCUCGGCAACGUGGAGCAGCCCGUGAAUGGACUAUUUCCUGGAUUGUUGUGAACGUAUAUGGGAUGAGGAAUAUAAGUAGACUCUAUACUCACGAACAAAAGGAAAAAAUGGGUAGUGAUGAGUUCCAGCAGUUGUCACACCCCACAUUGUAGAGAAGAAUCAAGAAAGAGAGAGCUUAAAUAACAGCUUGCUUAAGUUCACACGGAAAAAUGACAGAAAAAGAACUUGAACCCAUGUAAAUUAGCUUCAUAUUCUUUGUUCUUACCCACUUUGCUAUACUCAAUGCAAAAUUUUCAAUACAUAUUAACUAGUUGAACGACUGUAGAAUAAAUAGGUAAUUUAUUCCAAAAUUUAGAACACAGAUUUUUUUUUCUCAAUAGACCAUUACUGGGUGGUUGAAUCUAGAGAAGAUAAUUUUACUCAGAUGUUUGACGUAAAGCACUGUUUUUGGCAGUCACUCAUUGGCAUCUUAAGAUCACUAGUAAAGUAUAAUCAAGGCACAUUGUAAUCUUUCAUUACUGGGAAAAUUUUUUGUAGAUAUUCAGUUUUAUAUCAAUAAAGUAUUUCCAUUCCAGAUUUGAUGAGUAGCUGUGCAGCCUUGCAUCUGUCCCUUCAGCUUCCUGAUCUUCAUCUUUAUCUGUUCUAGCACAUACCCUUCAGUAUACAAACAGGCAAACUUAGGGUUAGCUCUUAUUUUCUCUGAUCAAUUUUAAAAGUCCUUACAGAGCACAGAAACACACACAAAAAAAUUCUAAUUAUUAUUGAGAAAAAAUAACAGAUGGUGGAUUAUCAAACAUUUCUGUCUUAGCUUUAGAGAAAACUAUUGUAGGAAGGUAUUCUCCUGGAGGAAACCUGGAGAAAAUGUGGAUAACUUUCACAUGGGAUAGGAUAUAAUUUUUGAAACAGCUUUAUUCAUUUGCCUUAACUGGUAGUGAAAGUGCUAUACUGCUAAUGGUCGGUGAAUCUUUAAUUACAGAUAAAUGUUCAUGUUAGUAUCUGUCCUCAGGGCAAAAAUGCAAACACAUAUACACCACUAGAGAAGCAAAGAAAUGAAUUUAUGCUUUAAUGAGCUGUGGAGUCUUAUUAUUCGCUUAAUAUAAUAUGACACUUUGACUCUGUACUGGAAACGAACUGGGAAUAUGAGGUUCAAUUUGUACUCAGGGAAAUUGUUUACUCCGAAACAAUUUAGCCAAUGAUUAAUCGUUAUUUUC
This 1985-nucleotide long non-coding RNA is filed under the name Homo sapiens (human). Its description in RNAcentral is "HSALNT0085533". The record is from RNAcentral. Lineage: Eukaryota; Metazoa; Chordata; Mammalia; Primates; Hominidae.